RNAcentral lists this unclassified non-coding RNA (218 nucleotides) under Melitaea cinxia (Glanville fritillary). Its description in RNAcentral is "misc RNA ENSMCXG00005008091.1". Lineage: Eukaryota; Metazoa; Arthropoda; Insecta; Lepidoptera; Nymphalidae. The record is from RNAcentral.
CGAUCAUACCGUUUUUAUAAUUGCGGCUUUGUAUUGGAAGUACUUGGCAACAAAAAUUUUGGAUCUUGUAGAUACAAUAAUAUUCGUGGUAAGAAAGAAAAACAACCAAAUAACAUUUUUACACGUCUAUCACCACGUGUUCAUGGUGCUCAUGACAUGGUGCACUCUGAAAUAUGACCCCUCGGACCAUUGGGCUUUUAUGGCGAUCGCAAAUUGUA